RNAcentral lists this long non-coding RNA (248 nucleotides) under Elaeis guineensis (African oil palm). Its description in RNAcentral is "long non-coding RNA (EGUI_LNC024896)". The record is from RNAcentral. Lineage: Eukaryota; Viridiplantae; Streptophyta; Magnoliopsida; Arecales; Arecaceae.
GGGAGAGAUCCAAGAUUCCAAAACCUCUACAUCCCUACUGUAUUUCUCAAAAAAAUGACUAUUAAUCUGCAUCCUUCCUGUAUAUUGAUAGCCUUCUGUCUCCAGCGCAAUCUAAGAUAUUUGUCAUGUCACAUGCUUAUUGUCAAGUUCCUCACCUCAUACUUUUAUGGCUGCCCUGAUGUGUUUUGCAAUUAACCUAUUUAAUCUCAAGAAUGGGCUGAAAGUAGGGAAUUAAAUGUGCUGAAAUC